This 497-nucleotide ribosomal RNA is filed under the name uncultured bacterium. RNAcentral describes it as "partial 16S ribosomal RNA". It matches the Rfam family "Bacterial small subunit ribosomal RNA", at positions 28 to 507 of the family's 1533-position model. The record is from RNAcentral.
GAUGAACGCUGGCGGCGUGCCUAAUACAUGCAAGUCGAGCGAACAGAUGAGGAGCUUGCUCCUCUGACGUUAGCGGCGGACGGGUGAGUAACACGUGGAUAACCUACCUAUAAGACUGGGAUAACUUCGGGAAACCGGAGCUAAUACCGGAUAAUAUAUUGAACCGCAUGGUUCAAUAGUGAAAGACGGUUUUGCUGUCACUUAUAGAUGGAUCCGCGCCGCAUUAGCUAGUUGGUAAGGUAACGGCUUACCAAGGCAACGAUGCGUAGCCGACCUGAGAGGGUGAUCGGCCACACUGGAACUGAGACACGGUCCAGACUCCUACGGGAGGCAGCAGUAGGGAAUCUUCCGCAAUGGGCGAAAGCCUGACGGAGCAACGCCGCGUGAGUGAUGAAGGUCUUCGGAUCGUAAAACUCUGUUAUUGGGGAAGAACAAAUGUGUAAGUAACUACGCACGUCUUGACGGUACCUAAUCAGAAAGCCACGGCUAACUACGUG